Molecule: ribosomal RNA, 457 nt
Filed under: uncultured Lactarius
Lineage: Eukaryota; Fungi; Basidiomycota; Agaricomycetes; Russulales; Russulaceae
Description: eukaryotic LSU rRNA
Rfam family: 5.8S ribosomal RNA (bases 15-169)
Source: RNAcentral
CACGCAAUCAAUACAACUUUCAAACAACGGAUCUCUUGGCUCUCGCAUCGAUGAAGAACGCAGCGAAAUGCGAUACGUAAUGUGAAUUGCAGAAUUCAGUGAAUCAUCGAAUCUUUGAACGCACCUUGCGCCCCUUGGUAUUCCGAGGGGCACACCCGUUUGAGUGUCGUGAAAAUCUCAACCUUCUUGGUUUCUCCUGGACACCGAAGGAGGCUUGGACUUUGGAGGCCUUUGCCGGCGUCUCUCUCUUUUGAGAGCCGGCUCCUCUUAAAUGAAUUAGCGGGGUCCUCUUUGCCGAUCCUCGACAUGUGAUAAGAUGUUUCCAUGACUUGGUUUCUGGCUCUGUCGCCUUUGGGACCCGCUUCUAACCGUCUCGACGAGACGACGCUUGGGCGUGUCUCCCUUCUCGGGAGACUCUCUCAACCCCACGAACCCUUGACCUCAAAUCGGGUGAGAC